This 253-nucleotide ribosomal RNA is filed under the name uncultured bacterium. RNAcentral's name for it is "partial 16S ribosomal RNA". It matches the Rfam family "Bacterial small subunit ribosomal RNA", at positions 524 to 776 of the family's 1533-position model. The record is from RNAcentral.
GACAGAGGUUGCAAACGUUGUUCGGAAUUACUGGGCAUAAAGAGCACGUAGGUGGUCUGCUAAGUCAGGUGUGAAAUCCCCCGGCUCAACUGGGGAAUUGCGCCUGAUACUGGCAGGCUUGAGGUCGGUAGGGGUGAGCGGAACUCCAGGUGGAGCGGUGAAAUGCGUAGAUAUCUGGAGGAACACCGGUGGCGAAGGCGGCUCACUGGACCGAAUCUGACACUGAGGUGCGAAAGCUAGGGUAGCAAACGGG